RNAcentral lists this ribosomal RNA (507 nucleotides) under uncultured bacterium. RNAcentral's name for it is "bacterial SSU rRNA". It matches the Rfam family "Bacterial small subunit ribosomal RNA", at positions 28 to 525 of the family's 1533-position model. The record is from RNAcentral.
GAUGAACGCUAGCGACAGGCUUAACACAUGCAAGUCGAGGGGCAGCAUAAAAGUAGCAAUACUUUGGUGGCGACCGGCGCACGGGUGAGUAACGCGUAUGCAACCUACCUAUCAGAGGGGGAUAACCCGGCGAAAGUCGGACUAAUACCGCAUAAAACAGGGGCACCGCAUGGUGAUAUUUGUUAAAAAUUUAUUGCUGAUAGAUGGGCAUGCGUUCCAUUAGGUAGUUGGAGAGGUAACGGCUCACCAAGCCAACGAUGGAUAGGGGAACUGAGAGGUUGGUCCCCCACACUGGUACUGAGACACGGACCAGACUCCUACGGGAGGCAGCAGUGAGGAAUAUUGGUCAAUGGGCGAGAGCCUGAACCAGCCAAGUCGCGUGAAGGAAGAAGGAUCUAUGGUUCGUAAACUUUCUUUUGCAGGGGAAUAAAGUGCAGGACGUGUCCUGUUUUGUAUGUACCUGAGAAUAAGGAUCGGCUAACGUCCGUGCCAGCAGCCGCGGUAAGG